This 493-nucleotide ribosomal RNA is filed under the name uncultured bacterium. Its description in RNAcentral is "partial 16S ribosomal RNA". It matches the Rfam family "Bacterial small subunit ribosomal RNA", at positions 29 to 523 of the family's 1533-position model. The record is from RNAcentral.
AUUGAACGCUGGCGGCAUGCUUUACACAUGCAAGUCGAACGGUAACAGGUUAAGCUGACGAGUGGCGAACGGGUGAGUAAUGCAUCGGAACGUGCCCGGUCGUGGGGGAUAACGCAGCGAAAGCUGCGCUAAUACCGCAUACGAUCUGAGGAUGAAAGCGGGGGACCGUAAGGCCUCGCGCGAUCGGAGCGGCCGAUGUCAGAUUAGGUAGUUGGUGGGGUAAAGGCUCACCAAGCCAACGAUCUGUAGCUGGUCUGAGAGGACGACCAGCCACACUGGGACUGAGACACGGCCCAGACUCCUGCGGGAGGCAGCAGUGGGGAAUUUUGGACAAUGGGCGAAGGCCUGAUCCAGCAAUGCCGCGUGCAGGAAGAAGGCCUUCGGGUUGUAAGCUGCUUUUGUACGGAGCGAAAAGGUCUCCUCUAAUACAGGGGGCUCAUGACGGUACCGUAAGAAUAAGCACCGGCUAACUACGUGCCAGCCGCCGCAGUAA